Molecule: ribosomal RNA, 254 nt
Filed under: uncultured bacterium
Lineage: Bacteria
Description: partial 16S ribosomal RNA
Rfam family: Bacterial small subunit ribosomal RNA
Source: RNAcentral
UACAGAGGGUGCGAGCGUUGUUCGGAAUUAUUGGGCGUAAAGGGCGCGUAGGCGGACGGUCAAGUCGGGGGUGAAAUCUUUCAGCUUAACUGGAAAAGUGCCUCCGAUACUGAUCGUCUCGAGGGAGGUAGGGGCCAUGUGGAACUUUCCGGUGGAGCGGUGAAAUGCGUAGAUAUCGGAAGGAACGCCGGUGGCGAAAGCGACGUGCCUGGACCUCUUCGACGCUGAGGCGCGAAAGCCAGGGAGCAAACGGG